UUUUAAUGAUGAAUAAAUUUUACACCAUCUUUCGACUGAAAUGCUAUUGAUGUAGAUUUUCUGGCUGAUGUAUCAA
Chrysoperla carnea is the source of this 76-nucleotide small nucleolar RNA. The record is from RefSeq and is a predicted model, not a curated record. Lineage: Eukaryota; Metazoa; Arthropoda; Insecta; Neuroptera; Chrysopidae.